RNAcentral lists this ribosomal RNA (468 nucleotides) under uncultured bacterium. RNAcentral describes it as "partial 16S ribosomal RNA". It matches the Rfam family "Bacterial small subunit ribosomal RNA", at positions 28 to 507 of the family's 1533-position model. The record is from RNAcentral.
GACGAACGCUGGCGGCGUGCUUAACACAUGCAAGUCGAACGGAAAGGCCCUGCGUUUGUGCGGUGCUCGAGUGCCGAACGGGUGAGUAACACGUGAGUAACCUGCCCUUGACUUUGGGAUAACUUCAGGAAACUGGGGCUAAUACCGGAUAGGAGCUCCUGCUGCAUGGUGGGCGUUGGAAAGUUUCGGCGGUUGGGGAUGGACUCGCGGCUUAUCAGCUUGUUGGUGGGGUAGUCGCUUACCAAGGGUUUGACGGGUAGCCGGCCUGAGUGGGUGACCGGCCACAUUGGGACUGAGGGACGGCGCAGACUCCUACGUGAGGCAGCAGGGGGGAGUAUUGCACAAUGAGCGGAAGCCGGAUGCAGCAGCGCCGGGUGCGGGAUGACGGCCUUCGGGUUGUAAACCGCUUUCGCCUGUGACGAAGCGUGAGUGACGGUAAUGGGUAAAGAAGCACCGGCUAACUACGUG